GCGGCAGGCCUAACACAUGCAAGUCGAGCGGAAACGAGUUAACUGAACCUUCGGGGAACGUUAACGGCGUCGAGCGGCGGACGGGUGAGUAAUGCCUGGGAAAUUGCCCUGAUGUGGGGGAUAACCAUUGGAAACGAUGGCUAAUACCGCAUAAUAGCUUCGGCUCAAAGAGGGGGACCUUCGGGCCUCUCGCGUCAGGAUAUGCCCAGGUGGGAUUAGCUAGUUGGUGAGGUAAUGGCUCACCAAGGCGACGAUCCCUAGCUGGUCUGAGAGGAUGAUCAGCCACACUGGAACUGAGACACGGUCCAGACUCCUACGGGAGGCAGCAGUGGGGAAUAUUGCACAAUGGGCGCAAGCCUGAUGCAGCCAUGCCGCGUGUAUGAAGAAGGCCUUCGGGUUGUAAAGUACUUUCAGCAGUGAGGAAGGCRGRKWCGUUAAUAGCGKSCUYGUUUGACGUUAGCUGCAGA
RNAcentral lists this ribosomal RNA (467 nucleotides) under Vibrio brasiliensis. Its description in RNAcentral is "bacterial SSU rRNA". It matches the Rfam family "Bacterial small subunit ribosomal RNA", at positions 39 to 485 of the family's 1533-position model. Lineage: Bacteria; Pseudomonadati; Pseudomonadota; Gammaproteobacteria; Vibrionales; Vibrionaceae. The record is from RNAcentral.